RNAcentral lists this ribosomal RNA (497 nucleotides) under uncultured bacterium. RNAcentral's name for it is "partial 16S ribosomal RNA". It matches the Rfam family "Bacterial small subunit ribosomal RNA", at positions 28 to 507 of the family's 1533-position model. The record is from RNAcentral.
GAUGAACGCUGGCGGCGUGCCUAAUACAUGCAAGUCGAGCGAACGGACGAGAAGCUUGCUUCUCUGAUGUUAGCGGCGGACGGGUGAGUAACACGUGGAUAACCUACCUAUAAGACUGGGAUAACUUCGGGAAACCGGAGCUAAUACCGGAUAAUAUUUUGAACCGCAUGGUUCAAAAGUGAAAGACGGUCUUGCUGUCACUUAUAGAUGGAUCCGCGCUGCAUUAGCUAGUUGGUAAGGUAACGGCUUACCAAGGCAACGAUGCAUAGCCGACCUGAGAGGGUGGUAGGCCACACUGGAACUGAGACACGGUCCAGACUCCUACGGGAGGCAGCAGUAGGGAAUCUUCCGCAAUGGGCGAAAGCCUGACGGAGCAACGCCGCGUGAGUGAUGAAGGUCUUCGGAUCGUAAAACUAUGUUAUUAGGGAAGAACAUAUGUGUAAGUAACUGUGCACAUAUUGACGGUACCUAAUCAGAAAGCCACGGCUAACUACGUG